Long non-coding RNA from Homo sapiens (human), 760 nucleotides. RefSeq lists it as uncharacterized. Lineage: Eukaryota; Metazoa; Chordata; Mammalia; Primates; Hominidae. The transcript is spliced from 4 exons. The record is from RefSeq and is a predicted model, not a curated record.
CAAACCUGGAACCUCUCAGGGAAAGGAGUGCUAGGAAGUGGCUCCAAGUCUCAGAUGGGACUCCUGGGGGUGCCACGUUGAUAACAGGUUAUAUGUAUUUUGAAACAGGAAAUCUCGCCAUCCUCACCAAAGCCAUUUCCUUGAGAGGAUUUUAUCUGGUUUGUCUCCUUGACUCCAGGCAGGGCUCCAUUCCAACCAGAUGGAAGAAUGCAGACAUCUCACAUCAUUUACACCCAGAAGGCUGUCAGCAGCAGCGCUCAGGGAGUGAGAGUGUUUAAUCUCGAGGAGGAAAUAGAAUGUAUACACACCCUGCAAACUGAGAUGUUUUACGUUGGCUCUGGCUCCUACCGCCCCCCAUGUGUGGCAGCAGCUACCAAGACUCUACUGUGAAUCCCCAUGACUGCAAUGAGAAUGAACAAAAUGAACAACCUGCAGCAACAUGAAUGGACCUCACAAGGAUAAUGUUGAACAUAAGAAGCCAGGCACAAAAGAGUGCAUAUUUUUGUGUCUGACUCCAUUACAUGAAGUUCAAGAAGAAGAAACAUUAAUGUAUGGUUUUGGAAGGCAGGAUGUGGGGAGGUAGUUGGGGCAUGAGGAGGUUUUGGGGGUACAGGGUGGUGGCAGUGUUUUGCUUCUGGUUCUGGGGGAUGGCUAAGUGUGUGUUCAUUUCAUGUAAGUUCAUAUGCAUUUGUGCAAUUGCCUGUAAAGUUGUCAUACUUCGAUAAUAUUAAAAAUAUGAAAAAUAAAAAUAUAAAGCCCA